This 253-nucleotide ribosomal RNA is filed under the name uncultured bacterium. RNAcentral describes it as "partial 16S ribosomal RNA". It matches the Rfam family "Bacterial small subunit ribosomal RNA", at positions 524 to 776 of the family's 1533-position model. The record is from RNAcentral.
UACGGAGGAUCCAAGCGUUAUCCGGAAUCAUUGGGUUUAAAGGGCCCGUAGGCGGUUUAGUAAGUCAGUGGUGAAAGCCCAUCGCUCAACGGUGGAACGGCCAUUGAUACUGCUGAACUUGAAUUAUUAGGAAGUAACUAGAAUAUGUAGUGUAGCGGUGAAAUGCUUAGAGAUUACAUGGAAUACCAAUUGCGAAGGCAGGUUACUACUAAUGGAUUGACGCUGAUGGACGAAAGCGUGGGUAGCGAACAGG